UUUUGGAGAGGGAUAGGUAUGCUAGCAGGUUACUUAGGAAUCUUACGUGCUAGAGGGAUUUUAAGCAUAGGAUUCAAUCAUCUUAAAUAAAACCAUUGGAUCGAGAGAAGAGGUCACAACCUUCAAUCCACCGCUAAUGCACCGUAUCUCUCCCCCUUUUUUUCUCCGCCACUCCCUGCUUGACAUGAAUCCUCUCGCUCUCACCGCCCUCUACUAGGUCUCCCUCCUCCUGCCACUCCACCUCUUCAGCCUCUAUACAACUUGUCGCCUCUUCCCAACACUCGGUUCAACAAUCCUUCUUCUUCUUCUACCUUUCUCCUUCCUGUUCGUCUCUGUACAAAUCCUUGCCCCUGCCAUCGCCAUUGCAAUUGUAACCCGACCUUCACCAUCUGUUUUUACCAAAAUCCCAACUCCCUCUACCCCGACUAAUCACAAUCGGGCUUUGCUUCCCUCCCUCUGCUAAUUAACAUCCCAGCCGAGGUGAGGUUAAUCUCUUUUGCAAACCUGCACCCUCACCUUGCUUGCAAUUCCACCUCCUCUGUUUUCUAUAUUGUGCUUAUUCUUCAAUUACAGUCUUGCUCCUGCACUUAACUUUGCUUUUGCUAUUUUUUUAAACUUUUUUUUUUUUUUAAUUUCACUCUCAGUAAACAUGCUGAAGUUUAGGCAAGAGAAUUUGUUCUGUUAUCUCUUUUUUAUUUUUCUCUUUUUCUUUCUCCUCGUCGUCUCUUAUCAAUGAGAUUCAAGGGAAGAAAAUUGUUCUCUUAACGAUAAUCUCGCUUUUGGUUUCUCUCUCUAUCACGCUCCCCUUUUUUCCCUUUUUAUAUUUGUGAGUGCGUGAGGAAGUAGGAAUUGAAUGGAGAAAGAAAUAGAAAGUGCAGAUUUGGGAGAAAAUGCUAUGUAGGAGAGGAAGAGAGAGAUAGAGAGAGAGGCAACAGGGAUCGACAAUUUUUUUGGAAGGAAGGUAGAACCAGAGACUGAGAGGAAGAACAGAGUAAGAAUUUUUGGUUUUAAUUAUGUGAGAAUGGAGCUGCCUAAGUUCAAAUGGGAUUUUGAAGUUGAAAGGGAGAUCUGUUCUGAAAUUCUCAUCACAUGAAGAUUGUGGGGUCUGACGGUGGAUCUGAUUGGCUUUCGAUAAGGGUGGAACGUUGAGGGAAUCCAGAGAAGAUACCAUUACAUACCCCUCUCUGUUUGCUGAGAAGCUUUCUUCUUCUGUUCAGGGACGGGUUAUCUCCUUCGGUACAGCUCUACAGCAUACAAAACGGGCGCAAAAUCUUUGCUAAAAUGUUUCUCUAGAUUUUGGAAAACUUUGUCCUUUUUUCAAUUUCAGAUUUGGGAGAAAAUGCUUUGUAGGAGAGAGAGAGAGAGAGAGAGAGAGAGAGAGAGAGAGAGAGAGAGAGAGAGAGAGAGAGAGAGAGAGAGGCAGCAAGGAUCGACAAUUCUUUUGGACGGGAGGCAGAAUCGGAGACUGUGAUGAAGGGGAAAGGUAGAAGAAGAAGGAAGACCGUAGAGUGGCGGUACUGGGCAGAUCAUAUAAGACAACUGUUACCAAUGGAUGAGAUUUCUUAUGUUUCAUCUAAUGGCUAAUAGAUGUUAGCAUGCCUAAUUCCAAGAUUUUGUGAAAAAGACUAGGAGGAGGUGACCGUUAUUCAGAUGGGCAAUAAGGGUGAGGCAAGCUUGAGGCCUUGGUAUUCUUGGCUCUUGUAAUUUGAUCUGUUUAACAUACUAGAAGUAUUGUAUAAAACAACUUCUUUGUAAUGCUCCAACCCCAUUAACCUUGCA
Long non-coding RNA from Macadamia integrifolia, 1779 nucleotides. RefSeq lists it as uncharacterized. The transcript has 2 exons. The record is from RefSeq and is a predicted model, not a curated record. NCBI's taxonomy places the organism in Eukaryota, Viridiplantae, Streptophyta, Magnoliopsida, Proteales, Proteaceae.